Molecule: non-coding RNA, 111 nt
Organism: Acanthosepion pharaonis
Lineage: Eukaryota; Metazoa; Mollusca; Cephalopoda; Sepiida; Sepiidae
Source: the annotation of a GenBank genome assembly
UGACUAUAUCAUGUUGAAACACCAGUUACCAUAUGAUCACUGAAUUUAAGCAAUGUUGAGCCUGGUCAGUAUCUAGAUGGGUGACUGCUUAGAAAUAUUAGGUGCUGUAAG